GAUGAACGCUGGCGGCGUGCCUAAUACAUGCAAGUCGAGCGAACAGAUGAGGAGCUUGCUCCUCUGACGUUAGCGGCGGACGGGUGAGUAACACGUGGAUAACCUACCUAUAAGACUGGGAUAACUUUGGGAAACCGGAGCUAAUACCGGAUAAUAUAUUGAACCGCAUGGUUCAAUAGUGAAAGACGGUUUUGCUGUCACUUAUAGAUGGAUCCGCGCCGCAUUAGCUAGUUGGUAAGGUAACGGCUUACCAAGGCAACGAUGCGUAGCCGACCUGAGAGGGUGAUCGGCCACACUGGAACUGAGACACGGUCCAGACUCCUACGGGAGGCAGCAGUAGGGAAUCUUCCGCAAUGGGCGAAAGCUUGACGGAGCAACGCCGCGUGAGUGAUGAAGGUCUUCGGAUCGUAAAACUCUGUUAUUAGGGAAGAACAAAUGUGUAAGUAACUAUGCACGUCUUGACGGUACCUAAUCAGAAAGCCACGGCGAACUACGU
This 496-nucleotide ribosomal RNA is filed under the name uncultured bacterium. RNAcentral's name for it is "partial 16S ribosomal RNA". It matches the Rfam family "Bacterial small subunit ribosomal RNA", at positions 28 to 506 of the family's 1533-position model. The record is from RNAcentral.